CUGCCCGGAUUAGACCGGGAGAAGGAGGUUGUUUUGAUCGUUGACGGCUCUUUCUUCCUCCCUUCCUUUUUCUCUUUCCUCUUUCUUUUUCCUCCCUUCCCUCGUUUGUGAACCCACCCCACACCUCCUUCCCUCCCUCCGCGGGCCAAAGCUGAAUCUUUCGGGCUGUUGAGCAAGUUGGAACUGUGGGGCCGUUUUCUGCAUAAAUAAGGCUUGGUGAAUGGCAGAGCCAGAUAUAAAGUCUGAUUCAAAGGCUCAAAAGAAAGCAGGGGCGAUGAGGUGGGCAUGCCCGAGGAAGCAUUUCCCCAGCAUGGCCCUCUGAGUCAUGUCUUGCACCAGGAGGAGAAAAACACAUCAUCACAUCACGCCACAAUAUGUCACAUGCCUCCAACAGAGACAUGGGCCUGCACUGUGGGGGACAUAGCUCCUUCCUCCCCAGCUGGGUCAGCACAGUGAGGAGCAACAGAGGCAGGCAGAGACGGAGCUACUGGUCCCAAGGCGCUCUCCCCUCCCUUACCAUUGACCUUGGAUAAAGACAAUACUAACAGGGCACAGUGCCCGCUAGGUGCAGAGGCCUGUACAUAGCCAGUCACUGAAUCUUCCUCACCACCCUAGAAGACACCAUCUUUUAUACCCCAUAUCCACAUAAGGAAUCUGGGCCUAAAGUCACACAGCUGGUGGGUACAGAGUCAGCCCAGCAUGCUGGCUCUAGAGUCUGCAGUGUGACCACAAAAAAUCCAAGCCCCAGACUAGACAUCAGGACAUGGGGAUGGUGACACCUACCUGGGGAACUUGGAGGGUGGGUUGAGAGUGCUGGGCACAGAGCAUGAGUUCAUACUGCCGUUACCUUGGCUUUCGGUGUGUUUGGGUAUUUGGUUUAUUUUCCUUCCUUCUCUCCACCCCACCCCCCACUCGUUCUCACCCACCUGGAGCUUCAUUAUGACCCACCCCAACAACCACAUAUACAUACACACAUGCACCCUGUCAGAGUAACCAUAGCCCCACCUCCCCCCAGCCCUCAGCCUCCUCCUACCACCUGCUCAGAUCAAGCCAGGUGAGACUUUUUUACCUCCUUUUAUUUUUGCCCGAACCUCAUCACCCCGUAACACUCUUAUCAUGAUUGGCAGUUUGUCUGCCUGCCUCCUUAUGUGCCAUCAAGAACACAAGCCCCAUGAGUAAGGGAUGCUAUUUUGCUCAGGAAUGGACGCAUGGAUCCUGCACACAAAAGCCAAGUUUGCGGCACAGAAGUUCCCUGAGUCUUUGAUGGAUGGAGGAAUGGAUGGAUGAACGAAAGGGUGAAGUUUCUGCCCUGCUGACCACCCCUCCUGUCUUUGUGCAUGUGGGCAACGCCUCCUAAAACCUGGCCAUGCUUCUCACUCCUGUGCCUUCCUCUGGUCACCUAUCCCUCAUAGCGCUUGUCCCUCCAGGCCUGACCUACCCUCCUUUCCUUCCUACUGGCUCUUCAAGAACCCUGUUUCCUUUGAGACUCACCCUCUGUCCUGUGAGCCUCCCAAUUGAUUCACACGACUCUUUCACAUCCUGGAUGGGUUUCUGGACCACGAUUCCCUUAGUUCCACAGGAUGGGGAAUGUGAUAGUGCUGUCACAUUUCUGCAAGGGUCUCCACUUUCCCAGUGUCUUCUGUCCCUAACCACAGCCUCAGCUCACUGUCCUUCACCCAGAGAAUGGUUUCACCUGCUGGUCCUUAGCAUCCAUAUGGCCCAUCUGAUACCUGGACUUCUAGACCAUUAGCUCCCAUCUCCAGGGACCCUCGCCCCUAAUGUCCAUCUCCUGUCUAUGGCCUAACUUGGGCCAGGCUACCCCUUCAUACCUGUUUCAACCAUUUCAACCCCAACAUUUCCGCGCUUUGGUCUCAUUCUCCAACAGUCCCAAUAGUUCAGUCAUCUGAGUAACCGCCUCUCUUGCACCCCAGAAUCCUUCUCUUCACUCAUCUGGCCAUGGUUUUCCCAGACUACAUCAAUCGCAUCCCUCCCAGCCAUUUAAGUCGAGGCUAGCCUGAACAGCAGUUUGGGGCCAUAACAACAUGGGGGCUCCAGGCUUGGCUGGACCCAUAGCCUUCGCAGUGUUCACUGACUGACUGCCUCUUUCCUAUCUCCUGUGCGUUCUUUGUCUCCCUGACCCUUUUUCAUCAACCCAGGACUCCUGUCCACUCCUAGAGACACUGACUUCAUCCAAAUUAUGAAGUCCUUCUGCUGGGUCCUGUUGCCCCCUGAGUAUCCCUGUUACUCUUCAGACUCACUUGGUAAAGAAAGCUCUUCUGGCCACAGAUAGCCUGACAUCCUGGCCAACCUGGACAGGGUCUGUGCUUGUAUUUCUCCCAGGGAGCCCUCCAUGACUCUCCUGGGCCCCAGAGCCUCCCUCUCUCCCCACACUUAGCACUGCCAUCAAGCUUUCUAUCACAUUCCCACCCACAGCAAACCCUCAAGGCAUCCAUCCACCAAGUACCUGUGUAGUAAUGCAGUUGGCUACCCUUCUCACUGUUACAGCCCUGUCCUUUGGGGGCUGCUUUGGGGACCCGUUGUCCGGGACCACCCCCCACCUCUCUGGUCAUCCCUAAUCUCUUGUAGAACCUUCCUCUCCUCCCCUCUAAAGGUCAAGGUUGGAGGAAGCUGAUCUCCCUCUGCACUGCCCUCCUGUCUCCUCCAGUGGUGAUGGUUUCCGCCCGUUUUGCCCCACACCUCCCAGAGAUGCUGUGCUCGGCUGGAUCGCCCUGACUCACUCCCACACUCUCCUGGUAUUCUUCCUACCACACAGCCUAAGGCUGACCACAAGUGAGAUCAGCCCUGAGUCUGAAGCUUGCUCCCUGCUCCCAGCCUCACACCUCCUGCUGGACUCAGCCCGGAGAGGCUGGCCCCAGCUCAUCUAGGGCAUCCAGAGACUAGGUCUUGACACCUGACCUCAGCAGGGUUUAUCAAUGCAUUUUUUGCCAAGUCCAAAGUAAAGCCCCAUCGCUCUUGUCUGAGCUAUUGUAACAAUCUCCCCACCUCUUGCCGUCUCUUACUUAAGUGAGUCGGCUGCCUUAAGACUGUCUGAAACACAGCCUCAAACAAGCAUCUUGUCAGCUCUAAAGCCUGCAUCAGGAACUCAAACUACUAAGAGUGGCAGGCCAACCUGGUCUCUGAGAGCCCUCAAGUGCCCCCCACACCCACCCCAAUCCAUGCAUGAAGCUUUAAUCGCUUUCCGCGGCUUUGGGCUCUGUUUCAUGCAUUAGCAGCACUCUGCCCCAUUCACAGUCUGCUCAAUUCUUUCUUGUCUUUUGAGAGACCAUCUUGGGCCUCUCUCCUGGGAAGCCUUCCUAACUCCCUGCUCUGCCCAAGGAUGCUUUGCUCUGGAAUCAAAAUCCAAGGCUGAGGGACCUGCUAAAGAGGCCAUCUUCUCCAUAGGUUACAGGACUCUUUCUUGACACCUGGAACCUCUGCAACCAAGAACCAAUUGGGUACUCGGCAGAGGCAGGGAGGAGGGUACCAUCCGGAUGCCCAGCUGUCCUCUUCAGGCACUGCCCCAAGAACAGGAUAAGGAAUCAGCCUGGUUCUGCUGCUAACCCUGGUGGGAUUUGAGCUGGUUCCUCUGGCUCUGGGCCUCAGUUUCCCCUUCAUAAAGGACGGACACGGAGGAGUCUUCUGGCCUUUGAAGAACUACAUAUGGAAUGCCUGGGGUCUUUGGAUGAAAUUUUGCCCAGCUCUACAGGAACCCUGAAGACUCAGCCUCGCCUUUCUGUGCGCUCUCUGUAUGUCUCGUACUUCAUCUAGUUGUCACACAUAAAUGCAGAGCAGUGGAUCGGGGUAUAUAUAGCUAAGUUUGCUUGAGUGCUUGUCUAGAAUGUACAAGGCCCUAGGUUUAAUCCUUAGCACAAAAAUAAACGGGGCAAUGGUAGUACACUCAGGUUGUGGAGGCACGUGGAUCACAAUGCCAAGAUCGUAGUUGGCUACAUAUCAAGUUUGAGCUAGCCUGAGCAACAUGAGAAACAGUAUUUUAGAAGAAGAAGUAGUCAAGCAAGUAGCCAGUUUGUGGGGGUGGGGGUGGGGAGCUGGUUUUAUGGCGGUCAGUAGACUAGAAUCUAAUCCAGCAAGAUCACAGGGAGACAUGGCUUGGCCCCUCUGAGCUGGUUUGACCCAGACAUACAGGUCAAUCCUAGCUGUGGUGGCAUUUACUAUCUAUCUCGUGCCAGGAUCACAGAGUUAGUCGGGAACUCAGUCUAGGCAUGCUCAGACCAUCUGUGAGACUUGAUGGAAGGCAUGAGACGCUCAGUCAGCACUGGGCUACAAGGCCAGCAUCAGGGAGGGACAGGUGGGAUGUGGCCCCGACAAGAGCCUCGGCUGUGCCUUGAGUGGGGGGACUCGGGACAUUUGGGCAGUGCUCCAUAAAAGAGGUAGGGUUUCAAGAGAGGGCAGAAGAGCAGAGCCAAGGCACAACUGUGACCCUGUCACUCCUAAUAAAAGCCUUCUUUGCCUCCUGA
Long non-coding RNA from Peromyscus californicus insignis, 4475 nucleotides. RefSeq lists it as uncharacterized. The record is from RefSeq and is a predicted model, not a curated record. NCBI's taxonomy places the organism in Eukaryota, Metazoa, Chordata, Mammalia, Rodentia, Cricetidae. The transcript has 2 exons.